Molecule: non-coding RNA, 31 nt
Filed under: Mus musculus (house mouse)
Lineage: Eukaryota; Metazoa; Chordata; Mammalia; Rodentia; Muridae
Source: RNAcentral
UGAUCUGAUGUGUUUCUAGCCUGGUGGAGCC